Molecule: ribosomal RNA, 119 nt
Filed under: Xenopus tropicalis (tropical clawed frog)
Lineage: Eukaryota; Metazoa; Chordata; Amphibia; Anura; Pipidae
Source: RNAcentral
GCCUACGGCCAUACCACCCUGAAAGCGCCCGAUCUCGUCUGAUCUCGGAAGCUAAGCAGGGACGGGCUUGGUUAGUACCUGGGUGGGAGACCGCCUGGGAAUACCAGGUGUUGUAGGCU